Molecule: long non-coding RNA, 667 nt
Filed under: Homo sapiens (human)
Lineage: Eukaryota; Metazoa; Chordata; Mammalia; Primates; Hominidae
Description: novel transcript, antisense to SPG7
Source: RNAcentral
AGGGCACGCCUUAGGUCUCUGGAUGGCUACCAACCCCAGGUUCCCUCAGCUCUAGCCCCAUAAGAGAGGAGGCCUCAGGAGCGCCUAGGGCAGCCCUUUCAGCCUGGGCUGUGGGAAGGGAAGGUGGACAGAGAGGAGACCCCAUGCCUUUGUUCCCUGUUGAUGCAGAAGCAUUCUAGGCUCUGUCCCUUAUUCCUGCUGUGGGCUGAAGCUUCAGGCAAGAUCUAGGCUGGCUGGGGCGGUGGCUCAUGCCUGUAAUCCCAGCACUUUGAGAGGCCGAGACCGGUGGAUCACGAGAUCAUCAGGAGAUGAGACCAUCCUGGCUAACAUGUUAGCCUGGCCUCCAGAGCUCUUGGACUGCAGCACCCAUAAUGAUGGCCAAAGCCGCCCCCACGGCGACUCCUCCUGCUGAAGCAAAGUCAGGCAGAACAAUAAGAUGAGCAUGGUGGUGCAGGCCUGUAAUCUCAGCUCCUCAGGCGGGAGGAUCACUUGAUCCCCGGAAGUUUGAAGCUGGACUGCGCUGACCGCACCUGUGAAUACCACUGCCCGUCAAUCAGCCUAGGGGAAACAUUCUCGAGUGCGAGCAUGACGGCUUAGGUUGAUGUUUUUCAAAUUUUCCCAAUGAUGAGUAUUGUAAGGGACCAAAAUAAAAAAAUGCCAAUGCCUA